CAUCAAUGUUUACAAUAAUUUUCAUAAUACAAUAAUCUAAUAAAAAUAAUAUAACAAUUAAUCCAACUAAAAAAAAAAAAAAACUUGCACUAAUUUGCAAGUGGCUCUGUUGUCUCAUUAUAAGGACUGAGAAUUUGGCAGUAUAGUUAAACUCUCUGCUGACUAUGUUUUUGUGUGUAUUUUAAUUACAAAAGUACUCGUUAAGUUUCGGGAGAAAACGAAUUAGAAUGGAGAUUUUACGCGAUCUUUAUUUUUCACUUAAAGUAAAUAGUAAUGCGGAUUUUUGGAGAGGCCAAUAAGUAGAGAUGGCUUCUGACGCGUAUCGGACUCCGUUCCAAUAGCUCGUUUUCAAUGGUUCGACUAUCCUUGACCCUUUGGCGCUAAUGGAUUUUAGAUUUGACGCACAGAUUUUGAGAUAACUGGAUAUACAUGUAUUUUAUAUAUGUAUGUGCGUGUGUGGUUUUGCAGAUUUGGAGAGAGGAUGGGUUUCAUCACGAAUCUGCAACCAAACCAGGCGAAGCAAAAUUGUUUGUUUGAUGUCUCUGUCGUGCUUAACGCACUGGUGCAAUCCGUUCGCAAAUCUAACGGACGGAUCUUAUGAUAUCGCGCGUUGAUCGAGGAGGGGUCAUUAUUGGUGAAAUGGAGAUUUUGCGAAAAGCCCUACAUCGUGAAAUUGAAUUAGGGGGUGUGUUCGUUCGUUUUACUCGCGCUGUGAGGGAGU
RNAcentral lists this long non-coding RNA (721 nucleotides) under Ananas comosus (pineapple). Its description in RNAcentral is "long non-coding RNA (ACOM_LNC005228)". Lineage: Eukaryota; Viridiplantae; Streptophyta; Magnoliopsida; Poales; Bromeliaceae. The record is from RNAcentral.